Non-coding RNA from Kluyvera ascorbata ATCC 33433, 100 nucleotides. NCBI's taxonomy places the organism in Bacteria, Pseudomonadati, Pseudomonadota, Gammaproteobacteria, Enterobacterales, Enterobacteriaceae. The record is from Rfam.
AAGGUAAUAGAUCAACCCCUUGAUUUAUCUAUCCCCUGAGUGAAACAACGAAUUGCUGUGUGUAGUCUUUGCCCAACUCCCACGUUGGGCUUUUUUUUGC